This 497-nucleotide ribosomal RNA is filed under the name uncultured bacterium. Its description in RNAcentral is "partial 16S ribosomal RNA". It matches the Rfam family "Bacterial small subunit ribosomal RNA", at positions 28 to 507 of the family's 1533-position model. The record is from RNAcentral.
GACGAACGCUGGCGGCGUGCCUAAUACAUGCAAGUAGAACGCUGAAGAGAGGAGCUUGCUCUUCUUGGAUGAGUUGCGAACGGGUGAGUAACGCGUAGGUAACCUGCCUGGUAGCGGGGGAUAACUAUUGGAAACGAUAGCUAAUACCGCAUAAAAUGGAUUAUCGCAUGAUAAUCCAUUGAAAGGUGCAAAUGCAUCACUACCAGAUGGACCUGCGUUGUAUUAGCUAGUUGGUGGGGUAACGGCUCACCAAGGCGACGAUACAUAGCCGACCUGAGAGGGUGAUCCGCCCAAAUGGGAAUGGGACACGGCCCAGACUCCCACGGGAGGCAGCCGUAGGGGAACUUCGGGAAUGGACGGAAGUCUGAACGAGCAACGCCGCGUGAGGGAAGAAGGGUUUCGGAUCGUAAAGCUCUGUUGUAAGAGAAGAACGAGUGUGAGAGUGGAAAGUUCACACUGUGACGGUAUCUUACCAGAAAGGGACGGCUAACUACGUG